CUAACUUUUUUUGUUUUCUUUGUCCUGGCAGUGAUGGCACAAGAUGUCCCUGGAGGCAGAUAAAAACAGUUUUGUGGUUUCCAAGGAGAGAAGUACAUCCUGUGGCUUUCAGGGUGCUGAAGAGAAAGAGGAGAUCCCAGGGAUGGGAGAGGACAGUGUUCUGGAAAUGCUGAGCUACUCCAAAUUUACAGACCUGGAGACAUGGCUGUGUAUGCCUUCUACACUGCUGCCGAGAAGUUUGGAAUCAUUAUGUGCCACCUCUCAGUCCCUGACACCUAGUGAAACUGCAGACGCUGAGAAGAAACCCAGACCGCCGGAGGGGGACACCCCGUUCUUGUCACCACCCACAAUGGCACCUCAGUCAUCAAGGUCACCGUCACCCAUUCCUAUGGGGUCCCCAGUGCCCUCUUCGUUGGAUUCUUCAGGGAGCUCUGUCCAGGGAGGGGUUAGCGUCAGGAAGCGCCGGCGUCUGGCUGCGAGUCCUGGGGGACUGCGCUGGAAUUCUUCAGAGCCUUGGAUCAACUGGCAGAUACGAGACACAUAAAAAGGUGAGUAAAUUGCUCAAGGCUAGUAUACCUGGAAGUGAGACUCAAACCUGCAACCUUGGGUCCAAAGGCAACAGCACUAACCACUACACUAUCAGCUGCCCUGUUUAUAAAACAAUAUCUUCCAGCAAAAUAUUUUUACUGUUAUUCUCUUACGCUUUUAGCCAAGAUGAUGAGAGGGUCAUCAUUUUUGGAUAGAAUGAUGUCUAAUAUGCAUCCAGAUAGGAGGAAGGAUAGUGGGAAAGUAUGACUUCAUUGCUCAGAAAGUGAAUGACAACUGGUUCCACUUGCUCCCUGGUGUCCAGUUCAUUUCUGUUAUUAAUUACAUCAGAUCAUGCACCUAUUCAUUUCAUUUUACCUUUUCAAUAACUAUUUGAGAUAAAAAGCAAAAUGACUUAGAUUCUUUUUUCAGUUUUACCACUGUGUACUGUCCACUGAACUGGCACAGAAAAUAAUUGCAGCUAGGUAAAAUAAAUGGAAUGUAGAGGCAUGAUGGAUACUUUGA
Molecule: long non-coding RNA, 1050 nt
Filed under: Scleropages formosus (Asian bonytongue)
Lineage: Eukaryota; Metazoa; Chordata; Actinopteri; Osteoglossiformes; Osteoglossidae
Description: lncRNA (ENSSFOG00015030742.1)
Source: RNAcentral